This 218-nucleotide long non-coding RNA is filed under the name Musa acuminata (dwarf banana). RNAcentral describes it as "long non-coding RNA (MACU_LNC009250)". The record is from RNAcentral. Lineage: Eukaryota; Viridiplantae; Streptophyta; Magnoliopsida; Zingiberales; Musaceae.
GCUGAAUGACCUUUAUUCUUCAAAGAUGGCUAAAAAUUCAUCCUUCUCUCAAGGUUGGACUUUCUCUUCAUGAUGUUGACUUAUUUGAAUCAGGUUGAUUAUUUUAGACUCUUCUUGUAUACAUAGAACCUUGACCAAGUUUUGACUAGCUUGCUCCUUCCAAAUGCCUUCUAAUAAACAAGUUAAGGCUUCUUUCAUCCUUUUAGUUUUCGCUCUUG